AGUGAUGGGUGGCAUUCUCAGCUGUAGUAGUGGACAAAAUGUGCCAUCCAUUGGAAAGUCCAAGAAAUCCUCAAUGCCUUCUGGAUUGGUCAAAAAUUUGAAUGCUGGAGACUUGUUUUUGCUCCCAUAACUGAUUCUGCUUCAAAUCAUGGCCUAAUCCCAACAAUUCUCUAUGGGUGAGCAAUUUUGACAGACUUGCCAAAUUCCAGGAAUAAAAAGCUUCAGCAUUCAAAUUUUGAAA
Long non-coding RNA from Humulus lupulus (European hop), 241 nucleotides. RefSeq lists it as uncharacterized. NCBI's taxonomy places the organism in Eukaryota, Viridiplantae, Streptophyta, Magnoliopsida, Rosales, Cannabaceae. The record is from RefSeq and is a predicted model, not a curated record. The transcript has 3 exons.